This 395-nucleotide ribosomal RNA is filed under the name uncultured soil bacterium. RNAcentral's name for it is "bacterial SSU rRNA". It matches the Rfam family "Bacterial small subunit ribosomal RNA", at positions 26 to 449 of the family's 1533-position model. The record is from RNAcentral.
AGAACGAACGCUGGCGGCAUGCCUAAUACAUGCAAGUCGAACGAACACUUCGGUGUUAGUGGCGCACGGGUGCGUAACGCGUGGGAAUCUGCCCUUGGGUUCGGAAUAACAGUUGGAAACGACUGCUAAUACCGGAUGAUAUCGAAAGAUCAAAGAUUUAUCGCCCAGGGAUGAGCCCGCGUAGGAUUAGCUAGUUGGUGAGGUAAAGGCUCACCAAGGCGACGAUCCUUAGCUGGUCUGAGAGGAUGAUCAGCCACACUGGGACUGAGACACGGCCCAGACUCCUACGGGAGCAGCAGUAGGGAAUAUUGGACAAUGGGCGCAAGCCUGAUCCAGCAAUGCCGCGUGAGUGAUGAAGGUCGUUAGGGUUGUAAAGCUCUUUACCGAGAUGAUAA